AAGUCGUAACAAGGUUUCCGUAGGUGAACCUGCGGAAGGAUCAUUACUUAAGAUCUUUUAGAUGCUUGACUUUUAGUUUUAAAGGAGAGUGUCUUAAAUCAACAUUGUGAACUUGCUUCUUAUGUUAAAUUAGUUGUAACUGAAGGCUUAACUUAACUUGACCUUAACAGUCAAGUGUCUAUUAAUGACAAACAACUUUCAGCAAUGGAUCUCUUGGCUCUU
RNAcentral lists this unclassified non-coding RNA (222 nucleotides) under fungal sp. Its description in RNAcentral is "partial internal transcribed spacer region". The stretch from base 1 to 46 matches the Rfam family "Eukaryotic small subunit ribosomal RNA", at positions 1786 to 1831 of the family's 1831-position model. Lineage: Eukaryota; Fungi. The record is from RNAcentral.